GGUGGUUGUAGCUCAGUUGGUAGAGCGUCGGGUUGUGGUUCCGAAUGUCGCGGGUUCAAGCCCCGUCAAUCACCUUUU
Molecule: transfer RNA, 78 nt
Filed under: Borreliella spielmanii A14S
Lineage: Bacteria; Pseudomonadati; Spirochaetota; Spirochaetia; Spirochaetales; Borreliaceae
Description: tRNA-His
Rfam family: tRNA
About the family: Transfer RNA (tRNA) molecules are approximately 80 nucleotides in length. Their secondary structure includes four short double-helical elements and three loops (D, anti-codon, and T loops). Further hydrogen bonds mediate the characteristic L-shaped molecular structure. tRNAs have two regions of fundamental functional importance: the anti-codon, which is responsible for specific mRNA codon recognition, and the 3' end, to which the tRNAs corresponding amino acid is attached (by aminoacyl-tRNA synthetases). tRNAs cope with the degeneracy of the genetic code in two manners: having more than one tRNA (with a specific anti-codon) for a particular amino acid; and 'wobble' base-pairing, i.e. permitting non-standard base-pairing at the 3rd anti-codon position.
Source: RNAcentral